This 623-nucleotide ribosomal RNA is filed under the name Amanita regalis. RNAcentral describes it as "LSU rRNA". It matches the Rfam family "Eukaryotic large subunit ribosomal RNA", at positions 58 to 657 of the family's 3401-position model. Lineage: Eukaryota; Fungi; Basidiomycota; Agaricomycetes; Agaricales; Amanitaceae. The record is from RNAcentral.
AAAGAAACUAACAAGGAUUCCCUUAGUAACUGCGAGUGAAGAGGGAAGAGCUCAAAUUUAAAAUCUGGCAGUGUUUUGCUGUCCGAGUUGUAAUCUAGAGAAGUGCUGCCCGUGCUGGACCCAUGUACAAGUCUCCUGGAAUGGAGCGUCACAGAGGGUGAGAAUCCCGUCUUUGACAUGGACUACCAGUGCAUUUGUGGUGUGCUCUCAAAGAGUCGAGUUGUUUGGGAAUGCAGCUCUAAAUGGGUGGUAAACUCCAUCUAAAGCUAAAUAUUGGCGAGAGACCGAUAGCGAACAAGUACCGUGAGGGAAAGAUGAAAAGAACUUUGGAAAGAGAGUUAAACAGUAUGUGAAAUUGUUGAAAGGGAAACGCUUAAAGUCAGUCGUGUCGGCCAGGGAUCAACUCAGCUUUCUCUGCUGGGUGUACUUCCUGAUCUGAUGGGCCAACAUCAGUUUUGACUGCUGGAGAAGGAUAGAGGGAAUGUGGCACCUUCGGGUGUGUUAUAGCUCUUUGUCAGAUGCAGUGGUUGGGACUGAGGAAAGCAGCAUGCCGCAAGGCCGGGUCGUUCGACCACGUUCAUGCUGAGGAUGUUGGCAUAAUGGCUUUAAUCGACCCGUCUUGA